Molecule: unclassified non-coding RNA, 310 nt
Filed under: plant metagenome
Description: partial contains 5.8S ribosomal RNA, internal transcribed spacer 2, and large subunit ribosomal RNA
Rfam family: 5.8S ribosomal RNA (bases 1-105)
Source: RNAcentral
GAAAUGCGAUAAGUAGUGUGAAUUGCAGAAUUCAGUGAAUCAUCGAAUCUUUGAACGCACAUUGCGCCCCUUGGUAUUCCAUGGGGCAUGCCUGUUCGAGCGUCAUUUGUACCCUCAAGCUCUGCUUGGUGUUGGGUGUUUGUCCCCGUCUCCGCGCGUGGACUCGCCCCAAAGUGAUUGGCAGCCGGCGUACUGGUCCCGGAGCGCAGCACAUGUCGCGCAAACGAGUGCCUUGGUACGGCGGCGUCCAUAAGCCCCUCUCUCACGCUCUUGACCUCGGAUCAGGUAGGGAUACCCGCUGACCUUGAGC